RNAcentral lists this ribosomal RNA (425 nucleotides) under uncultured Pseudomonas sp. RNAcentral's name for it is "bacterial SSU rRNA". It matches the Rfam family "Bacterial small subunit ribosomal RNA", at positions 356 to 773 of the family's 1533-position model. The record is from RNAcentral. Lineage: Bacteria; Pseudomonadati; Pseudomonadota; Gammaproteobacteria; Pseudomonadales; Pseudomonadaceae.
GGGGAAUAUUGGACAAUGGGCGAAAGCCUGAUCCAGCCAUGCCGCGUGUGUGAAGAAGGUCUUCGGAUUGUAAAGCACUUUAAGUUGGGAGGAAGGGCAUUAACCUAAUACGUUAGUGUUUUGACGUUACCGACAGAAUAAGCACCGGCUAACUCUGUGCCAGCAGCCGCGGUAAUACAGAGGGUGCAAGCGUUAAUCGGAAUUACUGGGCGUAAAGCGCGCGUAGGUGGUUCGUUAAGUUGGAUGUGAAAUCCCCGGGCUCAACCUGGGAACUGCAUCCAAAACUGGCGAGCUAGAGUAGGGCAGAGGGUGGUGGAAUUUCCUGUGUAGCGGUGAAAUGCGUAGAUAUAGGAAGGAACACCAGUGGCGAAGGCGACCACCUGGGCUCAUACUGACACUGAGGUGCGAAAGCGUGGGGAGCAAAC